AGCCAAGAAUUUCUUCCCACCCCCUCUCUAUACCAGGGCAGCAGAUGGCCCUAGAGUGCUUACAAUCCUCCCCUGCAAACCCGGGUUGAUUCCCACAGCCUGAAGUCUGGGGCUGUCCCCAGUGUACCGUGCCCAGCCCAGUCCACAGAGCCGCUGUUCCUCCCCGGGGCACACGACGAAACAGCAGCCUCUAUAGGCGGAGAAUCCUUCCCCUUGCGAAGGCUGACACCUGAGGGGAGGGAGACUUCUCGUUUCCACUGGGCUCCUGCAGACCCUCCUCGGAUUGAUUCUGCUUCGGUAUCUGCAUCUGCGAGGGAGAGAAGAAACGGAGCUCACCAUGGCCUCAGAGCGUGGAGCUGCUCUGUGGAGCCUUCUCCUCACCUUUGCUUUUCUCGUCUCCUGCUGCGAAGCCCAAGUGGUUCAGAGCCCCGAGUGGCUGGUUACAGGGGAAGGGAAGGUCUCCACCAUGUCCUGCUCUUUCACCAGCGCUUACCAAGCCUUCCAGUGGUAUCAGGAGCGCCCUGGGCAAGGGCCCACCCACCUGCUGACCGCGAGCUCUAAUGACAAUGUCACUGUGGGACGGUUCAAAGGCGAGAGCCUGGAAAGUGGGAAACGCAGCUCUCUGCACAUCACCGACUCCCAGCUGGGGGACUCAGGCAGCUACCUCUGUGCGGUGAGAGCACAGUGACACAGGCAGAGCUGGGCUCAGGGCAAAAACCCUUAGGCUCUGACAGGCAGUUUAUGGGAGGAGAUGCAGGGACGGAUCCUCAGAUGGUGUAAAACAGCACAACUCCAUUGCAGAGUAAGGGACGGAUCCUCAGUUGUUAUAAAUGGGCAGAGCUCCAGCGGAAUCAAAGGGGCCAUAUCAUAAGUACCCAGGGAUUGGAACUCAGGUCUGCAGAUCCUGGGACAGCUGUGUGAAGAUCAGCGUAAAUCUGGAGUCACUCCACAUAUGUUCUUUGCGGUGACUGUAACAAAUCCGAGACACAAGUUCAUUUUUUCCCCUUUUCUUCCUAUGGGAUACUUUCUAAAGGAAAAUUCAUUACUAAACAUUUCCAGCGAUAAAACAUGUUCCCUUAAGGGAGCCGAAUGCAAAAUAUCUCUGGCUUCAAAGCUGUAAAAUCAUCCGCUUUUCAAUAGCAA
Dermochelys coriacea (leatherback sea turtle) is the source of this 1143-nucleotide non-coding RNA. NCBI's taxonomy places the organism in Eukaryota, Metazoa, Chordata, Testudines, Dermochelyidae. The record is from the annotation of a RefSeq genome assembly.